UGUGACCUCCACUACCAACGGGCUGUGACUGUUGAGUGUUGAGCGGGCAGUGUCACUUGAUUCCCCAGGGCCUCAGCUUUCUGCUCUGUGAAAGGGAGAUGGUGAUCUUUCCUAGUCAACCUGAGAGCUUGUGGGAAGUGAUAAAUGAUCAUUGGUGUGGCCACAUUUUUGCAAAGUGUAGAAGCUACACCCUGGAAUUUAUUCCCCUGAAGCUUUCUCUACAGGACCUAGAACAUGACAGAUAGUAAAUGCUAGGUCACCUUCAGGCCACCCUGGACCAUCCAACUCUGGCUAAGCCAUCAGCUGACUACAACUACAUGAAUGAGCGGGAUAUGUGAGCAGAAGAAUCACCCAGCUGAGCCCAGCCAACCUGCAGCAUAUAGUAUCAUGAGCUAAUAAACAAUUCCUGCUUUAAGCCCUAA
Molecule: long non-coding RNA, 422 nt
Organism: Cebus imitator (Panamanian white-faced capuchin)
Lineage: Eukaryota; Metazoa; Chordata; Mammalia; Primates; Cebidae
Exons: 2
Source: RefSeq, a predicted model, not a curated record